RNAcentral lists this ribosomal RNA (437 nucleotides) under uncultured Oscillospiraceae bacterium. Its description in RNAcentral is "partial 16S ribosomal RNA". It matches the Rfam family "Bacterial small subunit ribosomal RNA", at positions 341 to 792 of the family's 1533-position model. Lineage: Bacteria; Bacillati; Bacillota; Clostridia; Eubacteriales; Oscillospiraceae. The record is from RNAcentral.
ACGGAAGGCAGCGGUGGGGAAUAUUGGGCAAUGGGCGGAAGCCUGACCCAGCAACGCCGCGUGAAGGAAGAAGGCCUUCGGGUUGUAAACUUCUUUUAUCAGGGACGAAGAAUGUGACGGUACCUGAUGAAUAAGCCACGGCUAACUACGUGCCAGCAACCGCGGUAAUACGUAGGUGGCGAGCGUUAUCCGGAUUUACUGGGUGUAAAGGGCGCGUAGGCGGGGAUGCAAGUCAGAUGUGGAGUCUAUGGGCUUAACCCAUAAACUGCAUUUGAAACUGUAUCUCUUGAGUGUCGGAGAGGUAGAUGGAAUUCCUAGUGUAGCGGUGAAAUGCGUAGAUAUUAGGAGGAACACCAGUGGCGAAGGCGAUCUACUGGACGAUAACUGACGCUGAGGCGCGAAAGCGUGGGGAGCAAACAGGAUUAGAUACCCUGGUA